UAAUCUUUCUGUGGAUCAGACGCCAUGUUCUUUUUAACCUCAAUCUUUAAUUGUUGGAUGGUUUGUUUUGAUAUUGGUUGUCAGAUUUCGGAUUGCUACUAUUAUACUGUGAAAUUAAUUUGCAGUGGAAAAUUGAGGUAUAAAAUAUUUCUAUUGGUUUCUUUAUUCUUAUAAUUUUUACAAGAGAAAUUGAAAAUGGAUUUACAACAGAAAGGCGUGAAAUUUUCGAAGUUCAAAGUUUUGUACUUUCCAGACCUGCACAACGAAUUACCUAUUUGAAAAAUAGAAUAUGGUUAGAAAUUGCUGAUGUAAUAGAGGAUUCAAGUACCAUUUACAAACAAAAUAUUGAAGAGAAUGUGCUCAAAGGAAAUGCAUAUGAAUUCUUUUUUGUUGACCAGGAUGGAACAAUUCUUUGGAACCUAUACUUAGAAUAAGUUAGUUAGGCCUAGUGAUGUACCAGCCAGAAGUAGAGGAUGACAAAGAAAAUCAACUAUGAAUAAUAUUCCAUGGAUAUGAUUCAUGUAUGAUGUAGUAGCCUACAGAAGAAAGAGAUGGAC
This 557-nucleotide long non-coding RNA is filed under the name Nilaparvata lugens (brown planthopper). RNAcentral describes it as "uncharacterized LOC111060709". The record is from RNAcentral. Lineage: Eukaryota; Metazoa; Arthropoda; Insecta; Hemiptera; Delphacidae.